CAUGGGGUGGCACAUGUUAGUGCCAGAGCACUCUACGCUUCAUCAUCAGCAGUUGUCUGGUCAUCUCUUUUUUCUGUUCCUUCUAUUCUUAUUCCUAUUCUUUUCUCUCUCUCUCAUUCGUAUCCUUUGGCAUCACUCCUUCCUAUAAUCUCCUGUCCUUACCUACUAUCUCCCCCUCCUCCAUGUCUUCAUUCUUGUAACCCCUCUUUUCAUUCUCCCACCAUUCCUGCACCCUUACCUAACCUAGCAUUCUUUUUCCUAUCUUCGUCGUUUCUCUUCCCUUUUCACUCUCAUUUUCCCCAGUCUCUCCCCCCUACCUCCAAUCCAUUCUGGUCUGGGACUGGCUUGAAAACAGCCAGGAGGAAGCAGCUACCAUCGUCGUGAGCUCAUGACUACGGCUACCACACCAUCGACCUCAACAACAACUAGCCAGGAGAGGACAACGACUACACCGACCAACACAGACUCGGUUAACUGCGCUCAGUGACCACGCCAGAAGCAACAGCGGCUACCAAACAGUUGUAUUAACAAGUUUCCUGUUCGUUGCACCGACCAAAGUGUUCUUGACUAAGGGCACUGGAUAAGACAAGAGUGGGGGGUCUCUACUGAUGGGGGAAGCAGCUACCACCGUCGCCACCUAAUGCUGCACGUGACUACGACUGUCAACUGACACCAACAACAGGUGGCUAGGAGAGGACAGCGACUUUGUCCACCAAGACAUCAACGAUCACCUGACACGGAUUAUGGCGGCCAGUGACCACGCCGAGUAAAGCAACAGAGGCUACCAGGAUUACUUACAGGUUUCCCUGUCGUUACUCCACCAACUAUUUCUCGACUAAUGAGACUGGAUUAACAGACUGGCAUGACCACCACUGCCAUCAACGGUCAGCUGAUGUUGCUCGGUGACUACGACGAUCACACCAUCGACCUCAACAACAGCUGGCUUGGAAAGGACAGCGACUACGCCGAACAAACCAACGGCGGCUAACCAGGGGAUGUAUUCCUUUUCUAUUCCGUGCACUGUUUUUUUUUCUCUCUCUCACUCUCUCACUCACUCUCACUCAUGCACUCUCACUCACUCUCUCACACUCACUCUCACUCACUCACUCUCUCACACUUACUCAUACACACUCU
This 1134-nucleotide long non-coding RNA is filed under the name Pomacea canaliculata. Its description in RNAcentral is "uncharacterized LOC112576985". The record is from RNAcentral. Lineage: Eukaryota; Metazoa; Mollusca; Gastropoda; Architaenioglossa; Ampullariidae.